AUCGGUAUCCGGACCCUCUGGU
RNAcentral lists this microRNA (22 nucleotides) under Caenorhabditis briggsae. RNAcentral describes it as "Cbr-Mir-7591-v2_3p (mature (guide))". The record is from RNAcentral. Lineage: Eukaryota; Metazoa; Nematoda; Chromadorea; Rhabditida; Rhabditidae.